This 497-nucleotide ribosomal RNA is filed under the name uncultured bacterium. RNAcentral's name for it is "partial 16S ribosomal RNA". It matches the Rfam family "Bacterial small subunit ribosomal RNA", at positions 28 to 507 of the family's 1533-position model. The record is from RNAcentral.
GAUGAACGCUGGCGGCGUGCCUAAUACAUGCAAGUCGAGCGAACAGACGAGGAGCUUGCUCCUCUGACGUUAGCGGCGGACGGGUGAGUAACACGUGGAUAACCUACCUAUAAGACUGGGAUAACUUCGGGAAACCGGAGCUAAUACCGGAUAAUAUCUUGAACCGCAUGGUUCAAUAGUGAAAGACGGCUUUGCUGUCACUUAUAGAUGGAUCCGCGCCGCAUUAGCUAGUUGGUAAGUUAACGGCUUACCAAGGCAACGAUGCGUAGCCGACUGGAGAGGGUGAUCGGCCACACUGGAACUGAGACACGGUCCAGGCUCCUACGGGAGGCAGCAGUAGGGAAUCUUCCGCAAUGGGCGAAAGCCUGGCGGAGCAACGCCGCGUGAGUGAUGAAGGUCUUCGGAUCGUAAAACUCUGUUAUUAGGGAAGAACAAAUGUGUAAGUAACUAUGCACGUCUUGACGGUACCUAAUCAGAAAGCCACGGCUAACUACGUG